RNAcentral lists this ribosomal RNA (467 nucleotides) under uncultured bacterium. RNAcentral describes it as "bacterial SSU rRNA". It matches the Rfam family "Bacterial small subunit ribosomal RNA", at positions 60 to 524 of the family's 1533-position model. The record is from RNAcentral.
AGUCGAACGGCAGCGCGGGGCAACCUGGCGGCGAGUGGCGAACGGGUGAGUAAUAUAUCGGAACGUACCCUGGAGUGGGGGAUAACGUAGCGAAAGUUACGCUAAUACCGCAUACGAUCUAAGGAUGAAAGUGGGGGAUCGCAAGACCUCAUGCUCCUGGAGCGGCCGAUAUCUGAUUAGCUAGUUGGUGGGGUAAAGGCCUACCAAGGCAUCGAUCAGUAGCUGGUCUGAGAGGACGACCAGCCACACUGGAACUGAGACACGGUCCAGACUCCUACGGGAGGCAGCAGUGGGGAAUUUUGGACAAUGGGCGAAAGCCUGAUCCAGCAAUGCCGCGUGAGUGAAGAAGGCCUUCGGGUUGUAAAGCUCUUUUGUCAGGGAAGAAACGGUGAAGGCUAAUAUCCUUUGCUAAUGACGGUACCUGAAGAAUAGGCACCGGCUAACUACGUGCCAGCAGCCGCGGUAAU